UGAAAGUUUUAUCCUGGCUUUAAUUCUCAGUUUUAAAUUGGGGCACAUGUAAAUUUUAAUGUGACUAUAAUGGGGUAAUAAGAGUCUUAAUGACAAUUAUUUUAGAUUUUUAAAAAUUUUUAUAAUAAUUAAAUUCUCAGUGCCUAGUGCUAAAAGAUAAAUGAAAGUUUGAAUUGGUUAUUUUAAUUAAAUUAUAAUGACUGGUUAAAAUUUGUGCCAGCAGCCGCGGUUAGACUGAAGGUCAAAUUGAGAAGUUAUUGGUUAAAAGUAAUUAAAUGAAAUGUAAAAAGUUAAAAAAUCUGUGUUAAUAAAAGGUGAAAUUGAAUUUUUAGCUAGCAGAUUGUUUAUAUUUUAAAUAAAAGAAAUAUUGAAGUUACUAAGAUAGAGAUAUAAACUAGGAUUAGAUACCCUAUUAUACUUUAUUUUAAAUUAUAUUAUCAGGGUAGUAAACAGUUAUAAUCUUGAAACUCAAAGGAUUUGGCGGUAGCUUAGUCUGCUUAGAGGAACCUGUCCUGUAAACGACAAACCACGAAUUAUCUUACCUUGUUUUGUAAAUAUAUCAGUUUGUAUACCGUCAUUAUUAGAUAACUUUAUUAAAAUAUUAGUUAUUGUAAUAAGAAGUUCUUAAAAUAUUAGAUCAAGGUGCAGCUAAUAAUAAGGUAGAGAUGGGUUACAAUAAAUAAAAUUAUUACGGAGAAGAAGUAUAAAAUCUUUUUUAAAGGAGGAUUUAAAUGUAAAAGUAUUUUAAUAAGUUACUUUGACUUUAGCUCUAAGCUAUGUACACAUCGCCCGUCGCUCUCGUUAAUUAAAGCGAGAUAAGUCGUAACAUAGUAGGUGUACUGGAAAGUGUACCUAGUGGGCA
Molecule: non-coding RNA, 862 nt
Filed under: Sergia tenuiremis
Lineage: Eukaryota; Metazoa; Arthropoda; Malacostraca; Decapoda; Sergestidae
Description: partial small subunit ribosomal RNA
Rfam family: Microsporidia small subunit ribosomal RNA (bases 441-855)
Source: RNAcentral